RNAcentral lists this ribosomal RNA (497 nucleotides) under uncultured bacterium. RNAcentral's name for it is "partial 16S ribosomal RNA". It matches the Rfam family "Bacterial small subunit ribosomal RNA", at positions 28 to 507 of the family's 1533-position model. The record is from RNAcentral.
GAUGAACGCUGGCGGCGUGCCUAAUACAUGCAAGUCGAGCGAACGGACGAGAAGCUUGCUUCUCUGAUGUUAGCGGCGGACGGGUGAGUAACACGUGGAUAACCUACCUAUAAGACUGGGAUAACUUCGGGAAACCGGAGCUAAUACCGGCUGAUAUUUUGAACCGCAUGGUUCAAAAGUGAUAGACGGUCUUGCUGUCACUUAUAGAUGGAUCCGCGCUGCAUUAGCUAGUUGGUAAGGUAACGGCCUACCAAGGCAACGAUGCAUAGCCGACCUGAGAGGGUGAUCGGCCACACUGGAACUGAGACACGGUCCAGACUCCUACGGGAGGCAGCAGUAGGGAAUCUUCCGCAAUGGGCGAAAGCCUGACGGAGCAACGCCGCGUGAGUGAUGAAGGUCUUCGGAUCGUAAAACUCUGUUAUUAGGGAAGAACAGAUGUGUAAGUAACUGUGCACAUCUUGACGGUACCUAAUCAGAAAGCCACGGCUAACUACGUG